GACGAACGCUGGCGGCGUGCCUAAUACAUGCCAGUAGAACGCUGAAGGAGGAGCUUGCUUCUCUGGAUGAGUUGCGAACGGGUGAGUAACGCGUAGGUAACCUGCCUGGUAGCGGGGGAUAACUAUUGGAAACGAUAGCUAAUACCGCAUAACAGUAGAUAUCGCAUGAUAUCUACUUGAAAGGUGCAAUUGCAUCACUACCAGAUGGACCUGCGUUGUAUUAGCUAGUUGGUGAGGUAACGGCUCACCAAGGCGACGAUACAUAGCCGACCUGAGAGGGUGAUCGGCCACACUGGGACUGAGACACGGCCCAGACUCCUACGGGAGGCAGCAGUAGGGAAUCUUCGGCAAUGGACGGAAGUCUGACCGAGCAACGCCGCGGGAGUGAAGAAGGUUUUCGGAUCGUAAAGCUCGGUUGUAAGAGAAGAACGAGUGUGAGAGUGGAAAGUUCACACUGUGACGGUAUCUUACCAGAAAGGGACGGCUAACUACGUG
This 495-nucleotide ribosomal RNA is filed under the name uncultured bacterium. Its description in RNAcentral is "partial 16S ribosomal RNA". It matches the Rfam family "Bacterial small subunit ribosomal RNA", at positions 28 to 507 of the family's 1533-position model. The record is from RNAcentral.